RNAcentral lists this ribosomal RNA (100 nucleotides) under uncultured bacterium. Its description in RNAcentral is "partial 16S ribosomal RNA". It matches the Rfam family "Bacterial small subunit ribosomal RNA", at positions 405 to 520 of the family's 1533-position model. The record is from RNAcentral.
GGGANGAAAGCCUAUGGGUUGUAAACCUCUUUUCUCAAGGAGGAAUAUAUGACGUUACUUGAGGAAUAAGCAUCGGCUAACCCUGUGCCAGCAGCCGCGG